UAACACGUAAACAACCUGCCUUCAGGAUGGGGACAACAGACGGAAACGACUGCUAAUACCGAAUAAGUUCCAAGGGCCGCAUGGCCCAUGGAAGAAAAAGGUGGCCUCUACCUGUAAGCUAUCGCCUGAAGAGGGGUUUGCGUCUGAUUAGCUGGUUGGAGGGGUAACGGCCCACCAAGGCGACGAUCAGUAGCCGGUCUGAGAGGAUGAACGGCCACACUGGAACUGAGACACGGUCCAG
Molecule: ribosomal RNA, 241 nt
Filed under: uncultured bacterium
Lineage: Bacteria
Description: partial 16S ribosomal RNA
Rfam family: Bacterial small subunit ribosomal RNA
Source: RNAcentral